This 492-nucleotide ribosomal RNA is filed under the name uncultured bacterium. Its description in RNAcentral is "partial 16S ribosomal RNA". It matches the Rfam family "Bacterial small subunit ribosomal RNA", at positions 29 to 506 of the family's 1533-position model. The record is from RNAcentral.
AGUGAACGCUGGCGGUAGGCCUAACACAUGCAAGUCGAACGGCAGCACAGUAAGAGCUUGCUCUUACGGGUGGCGAGUGGCGGACGGGUGAGGAAUACAUCGGAAUCUACUUUUUCGUGGGGGAUAACGUAGGGAAACUUACGCUAAUACCGCAUACGACCUACGGGUGAAAGCAGGGGAUCUUCGGACCUUGCGCGAUUGAAUGAGCCGAUGUCGGAUUAGCUAGUUGGCGGGGUAAAGGCCCACCAAGGCGACGAUCCGUAGCUGGUCUGAGAGGAUGAUCAGGCACCCUUGGAACUGGACACCGGCCCAGACCCCAACGGGGGGAGGCGGGGGGAAUAUUUGGCCAAUGGGGGCAGGCCUGUCCCAGCCAACCGGGUUGGUUAAAGAAGCCCUUCGGGUUGUAAAGCCUUUUUUUUGGGAAAGAAAGGCGGCGGGUUAAAACCCCGCUGUUCUGCCGUUACCCAAGGAAUAGGCACCGGCAACCUUCGU